This 1967-nucleotide long non-coding RNA is filed under the name Helianthus annuus (common sunflower). RNAcentral describes it as "hypothetical non coding rna". Lineage: Eukaryota; Viridiplantae; Streptophyta; Magnoliopsida; Asterales; Asteraceae. The record is from RNAcentral.
UUUCUUCUAUUCUUUUCUCUCUGUACGUUGGUGUUUCAACCAAUAAUCACCGAAGCGAUAUUCUAUCCGAUCGAUUCAGGAACCAACUAACGAAUGCCAAAGUGUUGUACUUUGUGAAUUUCGGUAAACGGAAUCCAAAGUGCUAUACUUUGUGAGUUCAAUAAAUGGAUGCCUAAGUACUGUCUGAAUAAGACUAUACUUUGUGAAAUUCGUUAAGGUUCGAAUCUCGUGAUCAUCGUUAGGUUUGAUAUGGUUUUACAGAAAUACGUAUUCCGUUCUGUUAAACUAUAUGUUUAACCAUCUGAAUACUCCCAACUAUACGCUUACAAUCAAAAUGGAUGCUUAAUCAUCAGAAGAACCAAAAUAAUAAAGUAUAUGCUUAACUAUCAGAAGGAGUAGAAUUAAGAAGCUUGUUAAUUCAAUACUGCAUGCUUAUAAUGGAUUAAGUUUUUGUAGUCUUCAAUUACAGCCAGUAUGUGGGGUAUUGUGCACAUUACUGCUGUUUUAUCACUUUAGGUGGGCGAGCCUAAAAUUUGUGAUAUUCGUCACUAUUGGGUGACAGGACCCAAUAGUGGUAUGACCACAGUCACAGAAACGAGUCGAGUGACAAAUACUGUGGGUAGUUGGUUAACAUAUAAACAUUGUAAUCUCCCUUAAUACUGUAAAUUAUAACAACGUGUCAUUUUAUUUAAAAUGAAUGAUUCACUCAGUAUUUCCUGCUGACAAAACUUUUUUAAAAACGCGUUUCAGGUAAUUACAGUAGAUUGGAGUAAGAGUUGGAUGCGGCACUAAAAGGCACAAAGAAGUGGCUUAUUUUAUUAAAUUAAAUCAAAUUAAGAAAUAUUGUUUUAUAUAAUUGGGAUCAUCCCUUAUUAAAGCUACCUUUGUAAAACAUGGGUUUUAUCCCAUCUAUUUAAUAAAUAAAAUCCAGUGUUUCUAAACUCUGAUAUUUUUCCUAACUCACGGUCCUGAUGAAAUUUCCGCUGCAAUGUUUUCAAAAAUAAACCACCGGUACCACGGGCUGCUCACGGCUCCCGAUUCCGUCAAGGGUGGGGUCGGGGGUCGUGACAGAAAUGUGGUAUCAGAGCCACUGCUUUAAGCCUAUAGGUGUUGUGAUAAUAAUACCUAAGCUUAAAUAAAAGAGUUAGGAAAUUGCUAUUUACUGGUAGCACACAUAAUAACAUUUAGACUUAAACCUAAGAAAAGAUGCCUUAGUAUAGCUAAGCCACUUAUUUAAUCAAUUAAGUAUUGUAAUAAUACCUAAGUUUAAACGGAGAGUUAGGAACUUAAUAUUAUCUGAUAGCACUCCGGAUGAUAUUUAGACUUGAACUCAAGAAUUUUGCCUUAAUAUAAGCUUCAAGAUAAAUUACUUAUAUAAGUAUAAUGUGAUGAAUAUUGGUAUGCCAUAAGAAUGACGAUUAGCAGGCAAUAGCACUUAGUUGCUAUUUAUUCUUGUUUAUUGAUAUUACUUGGUCUAGAAUAAAGCUAUGUUAUGGAAAUAUAAAUUUCCUUGAUUCUGGAUAAAAGCCCUAAUAAAAGAGGCACUUUUAAAAUCUUGAAAAAGAUACUAUUUAUGGGAAAUCGAAAAUUUUGUCCGGCAAAAAUGGGUAUGGUGUAGCAGACUCUCCAGCUUGUCCGGAUAUACUGAGAUUACCUCUCCGGCGCGAAACGGAUAAGACGGGGUAAAUAAUAUGUCAAACAAGUGACAAGAUUUCCCUAAAUAAUAUCAUGACCUGAUAUUUGAUUUGUUUUUGGAAAUAUGAAUCUGUUAAAUACAUUGACUUUAUAGAAGGUAUGUAUAUUACAGCAUGUGAAAUAUACAACUAUAUAGAUAUGUAUAUCUAUAAGAAUUCCAAAAGUCAAUUAAGAAUAAAGCACAAGCAUAUAUGUCAAUAAUAAAUCUAGAUUUCUUUAUCAGGAAUCUCUUGCAUAUAUCUAUAAUUCCGAUAUCAAACAUUAUUUCGUUU